Molecule: ribosomal RNA, 200 nt
Filed under: uncultured bacterium
Lineage: Bacteria
Description: partial 16S ribosomal RNA
Rfam family: Bacterial small subunit ribosomal RNA
Source: RNAcentral
AGAGUUUGAUCCUGGCUCAGAUUGAACGCUGGCGGCACGCCUAACACAUGCAAGUCGAGCGGUAACAGGGGUAGUAGCAAUACUACCUGCUGACGAGCGGCGGACGGGUGAGGAACACGUAGGAACCUACCCUCAAGUGGGGGACAACCAAGGGAAACUUUGGCUAAUACCGCAUAAACUCGAAAGAGAAAAGUUGCCGC